GAUGAACGCUCGCGGCAGGCCUAACACAUGCAAGUCGAGGGAUAAGCCUUCGGGCUAAGACCGGCGCACGGGUGCGUAACGCGUAUACAAUCUGCCUUUUAUCCGGGUGAUAGCCCGAAGAAAUUUGGAUUAAUACCCUAUGGUAUAAGAGCACGGCAUCGUGCACUUAUUAAAGCUACGGCGGUAAAAGAUGAGUAUGCGUUCUAGUAGCUAGUUGGAGAGGUAACGGCUCCCCAAGGCGACGAUAGAUAGGGGUUCUGAGAGGGAUGUCCCCCACACUGGUACUGAGAUACGGACCAGAGUCCUACGGGAGGCAGCAGUGAGGAAUAUUGGACAAUGGUCGGAAGACUGAUCCAGCCAUGCCGCGUGCAGGAUGACGGCCUUAUGGGUUGUAAACUGCUUUUGUAAGGGAAGAAUAAGGAGUACGUGUACUUUGAUGACGGUACCUUACGAAUAAGCAUCGGCUAACUCCGUG
RNAcentral lists this ribosomal RNA (475 nucleotides) under uncultured bacterium. RNAcentral describes it as "partial 16S ribosomal RNA". It matches the Rfam family "Bacterial small subunit ribosomal RNA", at positions 28 to 507 of the family's 1533-position model. The record is from RNAcentral.